RNAcentral lists this ribosomal RNA (180 nucleotides) under uncultured bacterium. RNAcentral's name for it is "partial 16S ribosomal RNA". It matches the Rfam family "Bacterial small subunit ribosomal RNA", at positions 338 to 515 of the family's 1533-position model. The record is from RNAcentral.
CCUACGGGAGGCAGCAGUGAGGAAUAUUGGUCAAUGGACGAGAGUCUGAACCAGCCAAGUAGCGUGCAGGAUGACGGCCCUAUGGGUUGUAAACUGCUUUUAUAGGGGGAUAAAGUGUGCCACGUGUGGCAUAUUGCAGGUACCCUAUGAAUAAGGACCGGCUAAUUCCGUGCCAGCAGC